Molecule: transfer RNA, 76 nt
Filed under: Halogranum tailed virus 1
Lineage: Duplodnaviria; Heunggongvirae; Uroviricota; Caudoviricetes; Thumleimavirales; Halomagnusviridae
Description: Halovirus HGTV-1 tRNA
Rfam family: tRNA
About the family: Transfer RNA (tRNA) molecules are approximately 80 nucleotides in length. Their secondary structure includes four short double-helical elements and three loops (D, anti-codon, and T loops).
Source: Rfam by way of RNAcentral
GGGCUGAUGGCGAAACUUGGCUAAACGCGGAAGGCUCUUGACCUUCUACAUACGGGUUCAAAUCCUGUUCAGCCCA